RNAcentral lists this ribosomal RNA (490 nucleotides) under uncultured bacterium. RNAcentral describes it as "partial 16S ribosomal RNA". It matches the Rfam family "Bacterial small subunit ribosomal RNA", at positions 30 to 507 of the family's 1533-position model. The record is from RNAcentral.
AUUGGACGCUGGCGGCAGGCCUAACACAUGCAAGUCGAACGGUAACAGAAAGCAGCUUGCUGCUUUGCUGACGAGUGGCGGACGGGUGAGUAAUGUCUGGGAAACUGCCUGAUGGAGGGGGAUAACUACUGGAAACGGUAGCUAAUACCGCAUAACGUCGCAAGACCAAAGAGGGGGACCUUCGGGCCUCUUGCCAUCGGAUGUGCCCAGAUGGGAUUAGCUUGUUGGUGGGGUAACGGCUCACCAAGGCGACGAUCCCUAGCUGGUCUGAGAGGAUGACCAGCCACACUGGAACUGAGACACGGUCCAGACUCCUACGGGAGGCAGCAGUGGGGAAUAUUGCACAAUGGGCGCAAGCCUGAUGCAGCCAUGCCGCGUGUAUGAAGAAGGCCUUCGGGUUGUAAAGUACUUUCAGCGGGGAGGAAGGGAGUAAAGUUAAUACCUUUGCUCAUUGACGUUACCCGCAGAAGAAGCACCGGCUAACUCCGUG